GACGUAGGGCGCAAGCGUUGUCCGGAUUUAUUGGGCGUAAAGAGCUCGUAGGCGGCUUGUUGCGUCGUCCGUGAAAACCCGCAGCUCAACUGCGGGCUUGCGGACGAUACGGGCAGGCUGGAGUUCGGUAGGGGAGACUGGAAUUCCUGGUGUAGCGGUGAAAUGCGCAGAUAUCAGGAGGAGCACCGGUGGCGAAGGCGGGUCUCUGGGCCGAUACUGACGCUGAGGAGCGAAAGCGUGGGGAGCGAACAGG
This 253-nucleotide ribosomal RNA is filed under the name uncultured bacterium. RNAcentral's name for it is "partial 16S ribosomal RNA". It matches the Rfam family "Bacterial small subunit ribosomal RNA", at positions 524 to 776 of the family's 1533-position model. The record is from RNAcentral.